CCUCUCUAGUGAAAGUAGAGGCAGCUGACUCUCUCCACUCACUUUCUUCCUCCGCCAGCCACCUCCUCAGUAGCACGGCGCCUCCUCUACAGCAUGCUGCAUCCUCUACCGCCACGACGUCGCCCGGCGCCCCCGCCCACGCCGCCACCACCACCACGACGGCCUUGCGCCGUCUCCUCCGAUCCCCAGCAAGGCCUCGCCCCGCUGGCCUUAUCCCCAGCACAGCCUCGCCCCAUCCCCUCCUCUCACCACAGUGGCCUUGCCUCGCCGCCAACCCCGGGGAUCUUCCCUAGAUCGACUCUGCCGCCUUUAUCCUACUGUUCCAGAGGAGAUCGAGAUGCGGGGGCGGGCAUAUCGAAUUGAAUCGAGAUCCAGUGUGUCGACGUGCCCGCCGUAGUCAUCGCCCCCCGUUCUUGGCUCAGAUAGUCGCUCUGGGAAGGAGUUCGCAGCUCGCGUACGUGCUCUACAGGAUCAACAUGAUCUCUCUGUCGCCGCUGUUGUCAUAAAGGCUCGCAGUCGACCAGACUAUUUGCAGAUGACACUUGAAUCUAUCCUCAAGUAUCACAAAGCGGUUGCUUCAUAGUUCCCACUAUUUAUAUUACAGGAUGGUACAAAUGGAGAAGUAAAAAAUAAGGCCUGGAGUUAUACCCAAAUAACAUUUGUGCAGGUGUGGAAAGAAACACUUGCUCUAUGCUCAUUGCCUAAUGGUAUAACAGAACACGCUCUGCUUCUCCCGUAAUAUUGCUAGCAUAGUUGAUACUACAAGUUAAUGCGUGGCUGCUUACACUAAGUAGGCAUAUGAGUGCAUAAAAAGAUUGAAAAUCGUAACACAUUUUUUAUAUGCAGCCCAAUGAAAUGUAUCGCCUUGAGCUCCAUUAUUUAGGUCAGAUCUCAUGAGAGGUGUUGUUUCAAUUGCAUUGCCAUACAAUAAGGAUUUAUGUAGCGGUGGUAACACAGUCAGUUGGGAGGACCCAAUGGCAGAGUCGAUAUUAUUGACAUUUUCCUUGUUAGAAACAGCAGUAUCUGGUGUUCUUAAUGAAUUUGGACCAUCAAGUGGAGUCUGAUCACUCAUUAUCACAUCAACAGGUCCUGAAAGGGAGUACGUACCCCACUACGUUGAGAGGAUGCCAUAUUGUCUUCUCAAUGGUUUUUUUGUGAAACACUUAUUCAACCCUUCAUCAACUCAGUUUGUUCAUGAUGUACUGUCGAGAUGUUGCUGCCCACAUGGGGUGAUGACACCGGAGGUAGGGCAGCGCGCUGGGUCGAGGACGUCGUGGACAGGGUGAGAGCGGCGUGGUGGGGACGGCGGGCGAGGGGAGGUAGGGAAGCAAGGUGGGUCGAGGAUGUCGUGGACACCAGGGGCGAGGGCGGCUGGCCGAGGCAAGGUUCGUGGCGUGAUGGCAGCGUUGAUGGUGGAGGAUCGUGGCGUGGUGGCGGCUUUGAUCACGGAGGUUCUAUUUAAUUCCCGGGGGGUGUCAUCGCUGGGCUAUGUCAAAUCCUGAACGGGGGAGUCUGCCGGCAGAACAUUUGUUUUGAACCGUAGAUCUGUUUGUAGUAUGGUGGAUGUAACAUGGACCGUUGGAUGCAACUAUGUGGGUUUGAUCGAACGUUUGGGGUUAUCCUGUGUGCACUUUCUGGGGUGCACAUAGGGGAAGUCAUGUUUGAUUUUUUUAAUAGUAGUAUAGAUGCAUCACUAGUAAGGUACACUUGUAUUGCAUGUAUUAGAUUUGACAAGCAAAUUAGGAAUAAAUACCACACUAUAGUA
This is a long non-coding RNA of Triticum aestivum (bread wheat), 1765 nucleotides long. RefSeq lists it as uncharacterized. The transcript has 6 exons. Lineage: Eukaryota; Viridiplantae; Streptophyta; Magnoliopsida; Poales; Poaceae. The record is from RefSeq and is a predicted model, not a curated record.